ACUGGAUUUUCCAUUAUUCUCCUCCACAUAUUUUAUAUUUUUUUUUAUUCUUUGUAUUUUUUCAAGAUAAGAAAACCUCUACUCGUAUCAAAUUUAACUUCACAAAGCAAGUUAGCAAUUCAAAUGCACAAAUCAUAGGGAAAUUUCAUAAGCAUGCCAAGUAGUUGAUUAAAACAUGGUUCCAUUAAGCUUGAGUUUAGGAAUCAUAUGCAAAGACAAUGACCCAACAAGACUAGCUAACAUGAAU
RNAcentral lists this long non-coding RNA (247 nucleotides) under Linum usitatissimum (flax). RNAcentral describes it as "long non-coding RNA (LUSI_LNC005340)". The record is from RNAcentral. Lineage: Eukaryota; Viridiplantae; Streptophyta; Magnoliopsida; Malpighiales; Linaceae.